This 659-nucleotide long non-coding RNA is filed under the name Sus scrofa (pig). RNAcentral describes it as "lncRNA (ENSSSCG00025020293.1)". The record is from RNAcentral. Lineage: Eukaryota; Metazoa; Chordata; Mammalia; Artiodactyla; Suidae.
CUCAAAUACAUAUCUCCCUCCUACAUACUCUUCCACAAAUAUUCUGCUACAUCUCAUGGGAGGAAUUGCAGCAUUUCUUCCGGAAGCCUCAAGCUGUGGCUCUCUGCAGAAGCCAAGGCAGAAAUAUCCAUUUGAGCUGUGACAGAGGGUGGGGUCAGGAGACAGAGGUUUUUACAUGAAAUUAAAGGGCAGAGCAAGGAGAAGAAUUGAAGGCAAAGAUGACUGAACUUCUGAUUAGGUUUCUUUACCUUGAAACUUCAGCUUCUACAGGUCCAUGAGGGCAGGGACUUCAUCCCUUUUGUUCACAACUGUACAUCCAGAUCUCAGAAUGGACUUUGAGGAGGAAGAAAACAUGCAGCAGAGAGGUAAGGAAUAGAACAUAUAUAAAAGCGUAAAUUUUUUGUUAAUUGUUUUAUAACCACAACCCAUUAGUACAGAGAAUGUCUUGUAUAAAACAACACAAAAAAAGGUUUAAAAAUGUUGCCUUAGGCAAGACUGAAGAUUGAAGUCUCAUAUUUGGAAUUUCUGCUGCAGUCCUUGUUUCUGGAUGGAUCAUUGGGUCUGUGGCACAGUCCAUGCUUUUAACCAGAUUUGAACAGAAGCGUGGCCACUUGGCCCAGGUAGAAGUAGGUGCAGUAUUUGGUUUAAUGUGUCAUGUA